UCCUGUGGUCUCAGGAACCGGGGAAUUCCUGGUCUUCCCAGGCCUUUGGCUGAGACUCCUGCCUGCUCUACUGCUCUACUGCCCGGUUGGGUUAGAUGCCUCGGAAAGAUCCUCUUAAUUCAGAGAACUCGUGACUCCAUGAAAAGAUGAAACCGAGGGGAAGAGAGGUUGACUGACUUGCCCAAGGUCACUCAGCUGGAAAGAGCAGAGCCUGAGUCUGAACCAGCCUCUGGGUUCCCGACUACCACACUGCCUCUGAAGGAAGGUCUCCCCACCCUGCCCCCGGAGGACGAUUCUCGAACUUUCUCCUCAGUAUCACCCGUCAGCACCAGACUGCACUCGUCCUCCUUGAGCCUCAGUGGUGUGUGUUACCUCCCUCUAUCAUGCUGUGGAUUCCUUGAGAGUGGGCUCUGGGACUAAGUACAGCUCUUCAGCCUCCCAUGCUCUCCACGUUCUCCCUCAGGACCUUGCCCAUGAGAUCCCAAGAAGUGCACCCGUGCUCUGAAGAGGCAGACUGAGGCUGUAGGGGCCCGGCCGCCCCUCCCCACAAUGCUUUGGCCGGUCAGCCAGCACCCGAGACAGCAGACCAGCCUGACAGGCCGGCGGAGUAAGUGCUCAAAAGCA
Non-coding RNA from Delphinapterus leucas (beluga whale), 624 nucleotides. NCBI's taxonomy places the organism in Eukaryota, Metazoa, Chordata, Mammalia, Artiodactyla, Monodontidae. The record is from RefSeq and is a predicted model, not a curated record.